RNAcentral lists this ribosomal RNA (492 nucleotides) under uncultured bacterium. Its description in RNAcentral is "partial 16S ribosomal RNA". It matches the Rfam family "Bacterial small subunit ribosomal RNA", at positions 36 to 507 of the family's 1533-position model. The record is from RNAcentral.
CGUUCCCUCUGGCGGUAGGCCUAACACAUGCAAGUCGAACGGCAGCGCAGUAAGAGCUUGCUCUUACGGGUGGCGAGUGGGGGACGGGUGAGGAAUACAUCGGAAUCUACUUUUUCGGGGGGGUUAACGUAGGGAAACUUACGCUAAUACCGCAUACGACCUACGGGUGAAAGCAGUGGAUCUUCGGACCUGUCGCGAUUGAAUGAGCCGAUGUCGGAUUAGCUAGUUGGCGGGGUAAAGGCCCACCAAGGCGAGGAUCCGUAGCUGGUCUGAGAGGAUGAUAAGCCACAUUGGAACUGAACCACGGUCCAUGGGCCUAAGGGAGGGACCAGUGGGGAACAUUGGACAACGGGCGCAAGCCUGGUACAGCGAUACCGCGUCGGUGAAGACGGCGUUCGGGUUGUAAUGCCGUUUUGUGGGGAAAGAAAAGCAGCAGGUUAAUACCACGCUGUUCUGACGGUACUCAAAGAAUAAGCACCGGCUAACUUCGUG